AUCAAGGCUUUUUUAAAAGCCAUCUCAAUUAAAGAUAUCACUUUUA
Rozella allomycis CSF55 is the source of this 46-nucleotide non-coding RNA. The record is from Rfam. NCBI's taxonomy places the organism in Eukaryota, Fungi, Rozellomycota.